This 244-nucleotide ribosomal RNA is filed under the name uncultured bacterium. Its description in RNAcentral is "partial 16S ribosomal RNA". It matches the Rfam family "Bacterial small subunit ribosomal RNA", at positions 530 to 773 of the family's 1533-position model. The record is from RNAcentral.
GGGUGCAAGCGUUGUCCGGAAUUAUUGGGCGUAAAGAGCUCGUAGGCGGUUUGUCGCGUCUGCUGUGAAAUCCUAAGGCUCAACCUUAGACUUGCAGUGGGUACGGGCAGGCUUGAGUGCGGUAGGGGAGAUUGGAAUUCCUGGUGUAGCGGUGGAAUGCGCAGAUAUCAGGAGGAACACCGAUGGCGAAGGCAGAUCUCUGGGCCGCUACUGACGCUGAGGAGCGAAAGCAUGGGGAGCGAAC